GCGAGAGUGGUGAAAUUGGCAGACACGCCAGACUUAGGAUCUGGUGCCCAUACGGCAUAAGGGUUCGAGUCCCUUCUCUCGCA
Molecule: transfer RNA, 83 nt
Filed under: Spirochaetales bacterium
Lineage: Bacteria; Pseudomonadati; Spirochaetota; Spirochaetia; Spirochaetales
Also listed under: 2 other names
Description: tRNA-Leu
Rfam family: tRNA
About the family: Transfer RNA (tRNA) molecules are approximately 80 nucleotides in length. Their secondary structure includes four short double-helical elements and three loops (D, anti-codon, and T loops). Further hydrogen bonds mediate the characteristic L-shaped molecular structure. tRNAs have two regions of fundamental functional importance: the anti-codon, which is responsible for specific mRNA codon recognition, and the 3' end, to which the tRNAs corresponding amino acid is attached (by aminoacyl-tRNA synthetases). tRNAs cope with the degeneracy of the genetic code in two manners: having more than one tRNA (with a specific anti-codon) for a particular amino acid; and 'wobble' base-pairing, i.e. permitting non-standard base-pairing at the 3rd anti-codon position.
Source: RNAcentral